This 581-nucleotide ribosomal RNA is filed under the name uncultured Gammaproteobacteria bacterium. RNAcentral describes it as "bacterial SSU rRNA". It matches the Rfam family "Bacterial small subunit ribosomal RNA", at positions 338 to 916 of the family's 1533-position model. Lineage: Bacteria; Pseudomonadati; Pseudomonadota; Gammaproteobacteria. The record is from RNAcentral.
CCUACGGGAGGCAGCAGUGGGGAAUAUUGCACAAUGGGGGCAACCCUGAUGCAGCCAUGCCGCGUGUGUGAAGAAGGCCUUCGGGUUGUAAAGCACUUUCAGUUGUGAGGAAAGGUUAGUAGUUAAUACCUGCUAGCUGUGACGUUAACAACAGAAGAAACACCGGCUAACUCCGUGCCAGCAGCCGCGGUAAUACGGAGGGUGCGAGCGUUAAUCGGAAUUACUGGGCGUAAAGCGCACGCAGGCGGUCUGUUAAGCUAGAUGUGAAAGCCCCGCGCUCAACGUGGGAGGGUCAUUUAGAACUGGCAGACUAGAGUCUUGGAGAGGGGAGUGGAAUUCCAGGUGUAGCGGUGAAAUGCGUAGAGAUCUGGAGGAACAUCAAUGGCGAAGGCAACUCCCUGGCCAAAGACUGACGCUCAUGUGCGAAAGUGUGGGUAGCGAACAGGAUUAGAUACCCUGGUAGUCCACACCGUAAACGAUGGAUACUAGCUGUUCGGAUUUAUCUGAGUGGCUAAGCGAAAGUGAUAAGUAUCCCACCUGGGGAGUACGUUCGCAAGAAUGAAACUCAAAGGAAUUGACGG